GACGAACGCUGGCGGCGUGCUUAACACAUGCAAGUCGAGCGGUAAGGCCCUUUCGGGGGUACACGAGCGGCGAACGGGUGAGUAACACGUGGGUGACCUGCCCUCAGCUCUGGGAUAAGCCUGGGAAACCGGGUCUAAUACUGGAUAUGACUCCAUGACGCAUGUUGUGGGGUGGAAAGCCUUGUGCGGCUGAGGAUGGGCCCGCGGCCUAUCAGCUUGUUGGUGGGGUNANGGCCUACCAAGGCGACGACGGUAGCCGGCCUGAGAGGGCGACCGGCCACACUGGGACUGAGACACGGCCCAGACUCCUACGGGAGGCAGCAGUGGGGAAUCUUGCGCAAUGGGCGAAAGCCUGACGCAGCGACGCCGCGUGAGGGAUGACG
RNAcentral lists this ribosomal RNA (383 nucleotides) under uncultured bacterium. RNAcentral's name for it is "bacterial SSU rRNA". It matches the Rfam family "Bacterial small subunit ribosomal RNA", at positions 28 to 413 of the family's 1533-position model. The record is from RNAcentral.